RNAcentral lists this transfer RNA (77 nucleotides) under Thermoproteota archaeon. Its description in RNAcentral is "tRNA-Lys". It matches the Rfam family "tRNA". Rfam says of the family: Transfer RNA (tRNA) molecules are approximately 80 nucleotides in length. Their secondary structure includes four short double-helical elements and three loops (D, anti-codon, and T loops). Lineage: Archaea; Thermoproteati; Thermoproteota. RNAcentral also lists the same sequence under 1 other name. The record is from RNAcentral.
GGGUUCGUAGCUCAGCCAGGUAGAGCGUCUGGCUCUUAACCAGAAUGUCGUGGGUCCGAAUCCCACCGAACCCGCCA